CAAUAGCGUAUAUUAAAGCUGUUGCGGUUAAAAAGCUCGUAGUUGGAUUUCUGUCAAGGACAACUGGUCCGCCCUCCGGGUGAGCACAUAGUUUGGUCUUGACAUCUUGCCGGAAGCUGUUGCUGCACUUGGCUGUGUGGCGCAGUGUUCAGCACUUUCACUUUGAGGAAAUUGGAGUGUUUCAAGCAGGCACAUGCCUUUGGACACAGUAGCAUGGAAUAAUUAGAUUGGGCUUUUGCUCCAAUUUGUCGGUUUCUGGAGCUGAGGUGAGUAUUAAUGGGGAUUGUUGGGGGCAUCCGAAUUUAGCCGUCAGAGGUGAAAUUCUUGGAUCUGCUAAAGACGGACAACUGCGAAAGCGUUUGCCCAGGAUGUUUUCAUUGA
Molecule: ribosomal RNA, 381 nt
Filed under: uncultured eukaryote
Lineage: Eukaryota
Description: partial 18S ribosomal RNA
Rfam family: Eukaryotic small subunit ribosomal RNA
Source: RNAcentral